Molecule: ribosomal RNA, 428 nt
Filed under: uncultured bacterium
Lineage: Bacteria
Description: partial 16S ribosomal RNA
Rfam family: Bacterial small subunit ribosomal RNA
Source: RNAcentral
GUGGGGAAUAUUGGGCAAUGGGGGAAACCCUGACCCAGCAACGCCGCGUGAGGGAAGAAGGUUUUCGGAUUGUAAACCUCUGUCCUUGGUGACGAAGGAAGUGACGGUAACCAAGGAGGAAGCCCCGGCUAACUACGUGCCAGCAGCCGCGGUAAUACGUAGGGGGCAAGCGUUGUCCGGAAUGACUGGGCGUAAAGGGCGUGUAGGCGGCCGAUUAAGUCUGGAGUGAAAGUCCUGCUUUCAAGGUGGGAAUUGCUUUGGAGACUGGUUGGCUUGAGUGCGGAAGAGGUAAGUGGAAUUCCCAGUGUAGCGGUGAAAUGCGUAGAGAUUGGGAGGAACACCAGUGGCGAAGGCGACUUACUGGGCCGUAACUGACGCUGAGGCGCGAAAGCGUGGGGAGCGAACAGGAUUAGAUACCCUUGUAGUCC